CCCUUAGAUGUUCUGGGCCGCACACGCGCUACACUGAAGGAGGCAGCGUGUACUCCUGGAUCGAAAGAUUUGGGUAACCCGCGAAUCUCCUUCGUGCUAGGGAUUGAGGUUUGCAAUUAUCCUUCAUGAACGAGGAAUUCCCAGUAAGUGCAAGUCAUAAGCUUGCGCUGACUACGUCCCUGCCCUUUGUACACACCGCCCGUCGCUACUACCGAUUGAAUGAUUUAGUGAGGACUUCGGACUGGGACCGAUGCGGCUGUCGGGCUGCGUCGGUAUUCUGGAAAGAUGUCCAAACUGUAUCAUUUAGAGGAAGUAAAAGUCGUAACA
This 327-nucleotide ribosomal RNA is filed under the name uncultured eukaryote. RNAcentral describes it as "partial 18S ribosomal RNA". It matches the Rfam family "Eukaryotic small subunit ribosomal RNA", at positions 1470 to 1796 of the family's 1831-position model. The record is from RNAcentral.